RNAcentral lists this ribosomal RNA (253 nucleotides) under uncultured bacterium. Its description in RNAcentral is "partial 16S ribosomal RNA". It matches the Rfam family "Bacterial small subunit ribosomal RNA", at positions 524 to 776 of the family's 1533-position model. The record is from RNAcentral.
UACGAACUGUGCGAACGUUAUUCGGAAUCACUGGGCUUACAGGGUGCGUAGGCGGCUUGUCAAGUAGGGUGUGAAAGCCCCCGGCUCAACCGGGGAAUGGCGCCCUAAACUGGCGAGCUAGAGUGAGAUAGGGGUGUGUGGAACUUCCGGUGGAGCGGUGAAAUGUGUUGAUAUCGGAAGGAACAUCAGUGGCGAAGGCGACUUCCUGGACCAUAACUGACACUGAGGCACGAAAGCGUGGGGAGCAAACAGG